Long non-coding RNA from Cuculus canorus (common cuckoo), 700 nucleotides. RefSeq lists it as uncharacterized. The record is from RefSeq and is a predicted model, not a curated record. Lineage: Eukaryota; Metazoa; Chordata; Aves; Cuculiformes; Cuculidae. The transcript is spliced from 4 exons.
GGAGCCCCAAAGGCAGGAAGUGGGAUGGAAUGGGCUGGGUUGAGGGGAGCACCCCUGGGGUGGAACAGGGGGAGCAGGGGAUAGGAUACCUCAGGGCAGGGGCUUUGCCCCGAGGGUGUUCGGGUGUCUGAGGCACAGGGCUGGUGUGUGGCAACCUGUGGCCAGGCUGUGGCUACCACAGCCCCCGGCCCAGGCAGCACUGGUUCCCCAUUGAUGACCUGAUCAGUGCCUGCUGAGCCAUGCGUGGGACCUGCCGAGCCCCAACCGUUCCUUCUAAGGGCAUGAAGGUUACCCCAAUCACAGCGCCCACUGUGCUACUCAGAACCAUCAUUGUAGGGCUCUCUCCGGUGAAAGAAGAGGAGAGCGCGUGGUCAGACUUCUGUGCAUCUUGAGACACUCUAUGCUCACCGGAUCCACCCUGUGCUGCUCUUCAGAGCAUGUUGUGGCUGGAGAUGAGUCAGAAGGACAGCCAAGAGCUCAGGACUAGAACUAAGUACCUGCCCGUUAGCUCUAGGUGUUUGAAACCAAACAGGAAGAGACUGGCUGUCGGCAGAGCUGAGGGCAGCGACACAGCUCGCCUUGGAGUGGCUUCAGCGACCUGGGAUGUCGUUACAGUAGUGCCAGCAUCAAAGGCUCACAGCAGCUAACCGCUUGCAGGACACUGGUUCUCAGACGUUGCUGGAGUGAGUGUCAGUCCCAC